CACAGGACACUCAUCAUGGACAUAGGGCUCAUACUGGUUUUCUCGGUCCUUAUUUUAAAAGGUGUCCAGUGUGAGGUGCAAUUGCUGGAGUCUGGGGGAGGCUUAGUGCAGCCUGGAAAGUCCUUGAAACUCUCCUGCGCAGCCUCUGGAUUCACCUUCAGUGAUUAUUACAUGAACUGGGUCCGCCAGGCUUCCAGGAAAGGUUUGGAGUGGGUUGCAACCAUUUGUUACAAUGGUUGUAGCACCUGGUAUACUGACGCUGUGAAGGGCCGGUUCACAAUCUCCAGAGACAAUGCCGAGACACUCUGUACCUGGAAAUGAGGAGUUUGAAUUCUGAGGACACAGCCAUGUAUUACUGUGCAA
Non-coding RNA from Myodes glareolus (Bank vole), 363 nucleotides. The record is from the annotation of a RefSeq genome assembly. Lineage: Eukaryota; Metazoa; Chordata; Mammalia; Rodentia; Cricetidae.